This 231-nucleotide long non-coding RNA is filed under the name Elaeis guineensis (African oil palm). Its description in RNAcentral is "long non-coding RNA (EGUI_LNC002730)". The record is from RNAcentral. Lineage: Eukaryota; Viridiplantae; Streptophyta; Magnoliopsida; Arecales; Arecaceae.
AUGUAAAAAUUUGGGUGGAAUAGGGUGGUGACGUGGCAAUCAAAAAACGUCAUUUUGAAUGAUAUUUUAUCUUGUUUGUAUUAUUUUGAUAAAUAAAUUAAAAAUUAGAUUAUUUUUAUAAAUAAUUAUUUUUUAAAAUUAAUUAGAUAAAGUACUCGAAGGAAAAAGCUACUAAUUGUCCGGGACAAUGUAAUCCCCAGCAUCAUCAUGUGGAUUUCACCUUUCUAUCUC